RNAcentral lists this ribosomal RNA (253 nucleotides) under uncultured bacterium. RNAcentral's name for it is "partial 16S ribosomal RNA". It matches the Rfam family "Bacterial small subunit ribosomal RNA", at positions 524 to 776 of the family's 1533-position model. The record is from RNAcentral.
UACGUAGGUGGCAAGCGUUGUCCGGAAUCACUGGGCGUAAAGCGCGCGCAGGCGGCGAUCUACGUCUGGGGUGAAAGCCCGGAGCUCAACUCCGGGACUGCCUUGGAUACGGGAUCGCUUGAGGAUUGGAGAGGCAAGGGGAAUUCCACGUGUAGCGGUGAAAUGCGUAGAUAUGUGGAGGAACACCUGUGGCGAAGGCGCCUUGCGGGCCAAUUUCUGACGCUGAGGCGCGAAAGCGUGGGGAGCAAACAGG